RNAcentral lists this long non-coding RNA (300 nucleotides) under Ananas comosus (pineapple). Its description in RNAcentral is "long non-coding RNA (ACOM_LNC011449)". The record is from RNAcentral. Lineage: Eukaryota; Viridiplantae; Streptophyta; Magnoliopsida; Poales; Bromeliaceae.
CUAGUACACGUCCAAAAAGGCUCUAGCUAGCCGCUGACCCCUCGCCAGGAACCCUAGCCUUUCCCGCUGUGGAAGGCUCUGUAAAAACAACAACAAAGAGGGCGUGAGAACUAUUAAACAAUAGUUCCCAGUGGGUAAGCCGCCGAGAGUGGCGAAGUACACCACUAGGUCAACUAUGGCAUGAGUAGAUAGUAAUAAAUAAGCGAGUAAAUACAGAUAAUGCAAGUAAGUGCAAUAAGCCCGUAAAUGCAAUAAGCAAAUGUAAAAAUAAGCUACUCAUGCUAUUUGCUCGACAAUCAA